This 299-nucleotide ribosomal RNA is filed under the name uncultured Streptococcus sp. RNAcentral describes it as "partial 16S ribosomal RNA". It matches the Rfam family "Bacterial small subunit ribosomal RNA", at positions 1082 to 1382 of the family's 1533-position model. Lineage: Bacteria; Bacillati; Bacillota; Bacilli; Lactobacillales; Streptococcaceae. The record is from RNAcentral.
AAGUCCCGCAACGAGCGCAACCCUCGACCUUAGUUGCCAGCAUUCAGUUGGCACUCUAAGGUGACUGCCGGCUAAAAGUCGGAGGAAGGUGGGGAUGACGUCAAAUUAUCAUGCCCCUUAUGACCUGGGCUACACACGUGCUACAAUGGGCGGUACAAAGGGUCGCGAGUCGGUGACGGCGAGCUAAUCUCUUAAAGCCAAUCUCAGUUCGGAUUGUAGGCUGCAACUCGCCUACAUGAAGUCGGAAUCGCUAGUAAUCGCGGAUCAGCACGCCGCGGUCGAAUACGUUCCCGGGCCUU